CCGAGUUAUCAACUCCCAAACCCCUGUGAACAUACCCGAACGUUGCUUCGGCGGGACCGCCCCGGCGCCACCGGCCCGGAACCAGGCGCCCGCCGGAGGACCCAAACUCUUGUUUAAUUAUAGUGGCAUAUUCUGAGUCUCACAAGAAAAUGAAUUA
This 157-nucleotide unclassified non-coding RNA is filed under the name uncultured Tolypocladium. RNAcentral's name for it is "sequence contains ITS1". Lineage: Eukaryota; Fungi; Ascomycota; Sordariomycetes; Hypocreales; Clavicipitaceae. The record is from RNAcentral.